GGAGUGGCGAUAAAUGCAAGAGGAAACAGAAGAAUCGAGCAUUUUGCUACUUUUGUAGUAGCGUGCAAAGGCUGCCAGUGUGCGCCCAAUGUGGUAAACAAAAGUGUAUGCAGAAAACGGGAGAUUGUGUUAUAAAACACCCAGGACAGUUUUCAACGGGGAUGGCCAUGGUGGGGGCGAUCUGUGAUUUUUGCGAGGCUUGGGUGUGUCACGGGAGGAAGUGCUUGUCGACUCAUGCAUGCAGCUGCAUACUCCGGGAUGCUGUUUGCGCGGAGUGCGAACGAGGGGUCUGGGAGCAUGGUGGCGUGUGUUUAAGUGCUGCUUCUG
Long non-coding RNA from Priapulus caudatus, 327 nucleotides. RefSeq lists it as uncharacterized. NCBI's taxonomy places the organism in Eukaryota, Metazoa, Priapulida, Priapulimorpha, Priapulimorphida, Priapulidae. The record is from RefSeq and is a predicted model, not a curated record. The transcript is spliced from 5 exons.